GACGAACGCUGGCGGCGUGCUUAACACAUGCAAGUCGAACGGAAAGGCCCUGCUUUUGGGGGGUGCUCGAGUGGCGAACGGGUGAGUAACACGUGAGUAACCUGCCAUUGACUGUGGGAUGACUUCAGGAAACUGGGGCUAAUACCGGAUAGGAUCUCCUGCUGCUUGAUGGGGGUUGGUAAGUUUCGGCGGUUGGGGAUGGACUCGCGUCGGAUUAGCUUGUUGGUGGGGUAGUAGCCUACCAAGGCUUUGACGCAUAGCUGGGCUGAGAGGGUGAUCAGCCACACUGGGACUGAGACACGGCCCAGACUCCUACGGGAGGCAGCAGUGGGGAAUAUUGGACAAUGGGCGAAAGCCUGAUCCAGCAAUGCCGCGUGAGUGAUGAAGGCCUUAGGGUUGUAAAGCUCUUUUACCCGGGAUGAUAAUGACAGUACCGGGAGAAUAAGCUCCGGCUAACUCCGUG
Molecule: ribosomal RNA, 463 nt
Filed under: uncultured bacterium
Lineage: Bacteria
Description: partial 16S ribosomal RNA
Rfam family: Bacterial small subunit ribosomal RNA
Source: RNAcentral